AUCCAGAUGACGAAUGCCAGGUAGGACGAAACGCUCGUCCUGGAU
RNAcentral lists this non-coding RNA (45 nucleotides) under Schistosoma haematobium. Lineage: Eukaryota; Metazoa; Platyhelminthes; Trematoda; Strigeidida; Schistosomatidae. The record is from RNAcentral.